This 450-nucleotide ribosomal RNA is filed under the name Salmonella enterica. RNAcentral's name for it is "partial 23S ribosomal RNA". It matches the Rfam family "Bacterial large subunit ribosomal RNA", at positions 70 to 559 of the family's 2925-position model. RNAcentral also lists the same sequence under 1 other name. The record is from RNAcentral. Lineage: Bacteria; Pseudomonadati; Pseudomonadota; Gammaproteobacteria; Enterobacterales; Enterobacteriaceae.
GAUAAGCGCCGGUAAGGUGAUAUGAACCGUUAUAACCGGCGAUUUCCGAAUGGGGAAACCCAGUGUGACUCGUCACACUAUCAUUAACUGAAUCCAUAGGUUAAUGAGGCGAACCGGGGGAACUGAAACAUCUAAGUACCCCGAGGAAAAGAAAUCAACCGAGAUUCCCCCAGUAGCGGCGAGCGAACGGGGAGGAGCCCAGAGCCUGAAUCAGCAUGUGUGUUAGUGGAAGCGUCUGGAAAGGCGCGCGAUACAGGGUGACAGCCCCGUACACAAAAGCGCAUGUGCUGUGAGCUCGAUGAGUAGGGCGGGACACGUGGUAUCCUGUCUGAAUAUGGGGGGACCAUCCUCCAAGGCUAAAUACUCCUGACUGACCGAUAGUGAACCAGUACCGUGAGGGAAAGGCGAAAAGAACCCCGGCGAGGGGAGUGAAAAAGAACCUGAAACCGU